UAGGGAAUCUUCGGCAAUGGACGAAAGUCUGACCGAGCAACGCCGCGUGAGUGAAGAAGGUUUUCGGAUCGUAAAACUCUGUUGUUAGAGAAGAACAAGGACGUUAGUAACUGAACGUCCCCUGACGGUAUCUAACCAGAAAGCCACGGCUAACUACGUGCCAGCAGCCGCGGUAAUACGUAGGUGGCAAGCGUUGUCCGGAUUUAUUGGGCGUAAAGCGAGCGCAGGCGGUUUCUUAAGUCUGAUGUGAAAGCCCCCGGCUCAACCGGAGAGGGUCAUUGGAAACUGGGAGACUUGAGUGCAGAAGAGGAGAGUGGAAUUCCAUGUGUAGCGGUGAAAUGCGUAGAUAUGUGGAGGAACACCAGUGGCGAAGGCGGCUCUCUGGUCUGUAACUGACGCUGAGGCUAGAAAGCGUGGGGAGCAAACAGG
RNAcentral lists this ribosomal RNA (429 nucleotides) under Gemmatimonadota bacterium. Its description in RNAcentral is "Gemmatimonadetes bacterium partial 16S ribosomal RNA". It matches the Rfam family "Bacterial small subunit ribosomal RNA", at positions 355 to 776 of the family's 1533-position model. Lineage: Bacteria; Pseudomonadati; Gemmatimonadota. The record is from RNAcentral.